This 104-nucleotide non-coding RNA is filed under the name Mesobacillus subterraneus. RNAcentral's name for it is "Bacillus subterraneus SAM-I sequence". It matches the Rfam family "SAM riboswitch aptamer (S box leader)". Rfam says of the family: The SAM riboswitch is found upstream of a number of genes which code for proteins involved in methionine or cysteine biosynthesis in Gram-positive bacteria. The SAM riboswitch acts at the level of transcription termination control. Lineage: Bacteria; Bacillati; Bacillota; Bacilli; Caryophanales; Bacillaceae. The record is from Rfam by way of RNAcentral.
UUCUUAUCCAGAGAGGCGGAGGGACUGGCCCGAAGAAGCCCGGCAACCGGUUGGUAAAACACGGUGCUAAUUCCUGCAGAGUAAAUACUCUGAAAAGAUAAGGA